Molecule: long non-coding RNA, 489 nt
Organism: Fukomys damarensis (Damara mole-rat)
Lineage: Eukaryota; Metazoa; Chordata; Mammalia; Rodentia; Bathyergidae
Exons: 3
Source: RefSeq, a predicted model, not a curated record
CUGAAGGAAAAUGAGAAAGAAGCCAGGAGAGGUGGGAGGAUCCAUGAGAACAGUAAAAAAUGACUGAAAGGAGAUGAACUAUCCCAAGAUGGUGGCUGAACCUCCCAAGAUACUACAGCAGUUUAAUAAGAUGUUAUGAAGUGGGCAAAGAGGGCAGGAAACUAGCAAUGAGAAUUCAGACAGAGGCAAUUCCACUCCUGAGCCAACUACUCAACCACUAUACCUUUAUUAUCUCUGAGUAGAAAUGGGAGACUAUGAUGGAAAUCAAGAUCCAAAACACCAAAGCUACGUAGAAGACAGCACCACACCAGUACCAGAAGGACUAUCUAAAGUGCUUGCCAACACCCAGGGAGCCGACCAGAGCAGAGUGCUCACUUUAUUAACAAUUCCUUUCCCGCAUGAGCUGGAAUCUAAUGGAGACAUCCAACACUGAAGAAAAGUCACCAGCUGGGUAGACAAUGUGCCCACACAUCAUGUCAUCCUUGACAC